GAUGAACGCUGGCGGCGUGCCUAAUACAUGCAAGUCGAGCGAACAGAUAAGGAGCUUGCUCCUUUGAAGUUAGCGGCGGACGGGUGAGUAACACGUGGGUAACCUACCUAUAAGACUGGGAUAACUUCGGGAAACCGGAGCUAAUACCGGAUAACAUUUAGAACCGCAUGGUUCUAAAGUGAAAGAUGGUUUUGCUAUCACUUAUAGAUGGACCCGCGCCGUAUUAGCUAGUUGGUAAGGUAACGGCUUACCAAGGCGACGAUACGUAGCCGACCUGAGAGGGUGAUCGGCCACACUGGAACUGAGACACGGUCCAGACUCCUACGGGAGGCAGCAGUAGGGAAUCUUCCGCAAUGGGCGAAAGCCUGACGGAGCAACGCCGCGUGAGUGAUGAAGGGGUUCGGCUCGUAAAACUCUGUUAUUAGGGAAGAAAAAAUGUGUAAGUAACUGUGCACAUCUUGACGGUACCUAAUCAGAAAGCCACGGCUAACUACGUG
RNAcentral lists this ribosomal RNA (497 nucleotides) under uncultured bacterium. RNAcentral describes it as "partial 16S ribosomal RNA". It matches the Rfam family "Bacterial small subunit ribosomal RNA", at positions 28 to 507 of the family's 1533-position model. The record is from RNAcentral.